CUGGGCUCGUGUGUCGAUGAAGAGCGCAGCCAACUGUGUGAAUUAAUGCAAACUGCAUACUGCUUUGAACAUCGACAUCUUGAACGCAUAUUGCGGCCAUGGGUUAGCCUGUGGCCACGCCUGUCCGAGGGUCGGCUUAUAAACUAUCACGACGCCCAAAAAGUCGUGGCUUGGGUUUUGCCAGCUGGCGUGAUCUCCUCUAUGAGUAAUCAUGUGAGGUGCCAGAUCUAUGGCGUUUCCCUAAUGUAUCCGGAUGCACCCUUGUCUUGGCAGAAAGCCGUGGUGAGGUGCAGUGGCGGAAUCGUGGUUUAAUAAUCGGGUUGGUACUCAGUUGUCAGUGUGUUCGGCGAUCCCCUAGUCGGCACACUCAUGAUUUCUGGGAUAAUUCCAUACCAGGCACGUUCCGUUACUGUUACUUUGUCAUUGGUUUGAUGCUGAACU
This 441-nucleotide ribosomal RNA is filed under the name Fasciola gigantica. Its description in RNAcentral is "eukaryotic LSU rRNA". The stretch from base 1 to 134 matches the Rfam family "5.8S ribosomal RNA", at positions 20 to 154 of the family's 154-position model. Lineage: Eukaryota; Metazoa; Platyhelminthes; Trematoda; Plagiorchiida; Fasciolidae. The record is from RNAcentral.